GACUCGUGCAGCUGAUGACUCUUAUAAGGCCCGUGCAGCUGAGAGAGCCCCUUAUUUUCUUUCUCUUGCGUUCAGAAGGGGAACAAAGAUGUGUCCUUUUAGCUUCUCAGCUGGAUAAGAGGGAAGGGUGAUUUCACUUUUAAAGGCAUGUUUAUCCAUCUCUCUGCUUCCUGUUGGAGAUGAUCCGUUCCCUCAGCAAUAGUGCAGAAGCGUACCACCGACAGCGACACUACAGCUUAGGGCAAGUGUGACCAGCCAGGCAUUUCGCCAAGCAACGCAGCAAGGAAUUCCCAGCACUGCAUCUCUGCGUGCACGACGCACCUGCAGAUACACGUGCAAGAGGGGCCACCUCCUGCCUUCAGGCAGAGGCAUACCGCUCCCACUGAGGGCCAUGGCAAACAUUUGUAAACUGAGUUUGACGAGUCUCAGUCUAGCUCCCAGGAGACAGGCAUCCCCAUCACUAAACUUCCAGCACCACGGGCAGUGCUAGUGGGCCCUGCCUGACCGUCUCUCCCCUACUGGCUGCAGGAGCAGCCCCUCUGGAUCAGGAGAGAGGUGUAGGGAAUGGCACCUGGCACUGGAAUUAUCCCACAGCUAAAGAGAGGCCCCAUUCCCCAGUCUGCCACCUUUCCCCAGCACGUAAUUGGCAUGAGCACCUGAGCAGUCACCUGGCCUCUCCUGCAGCCAGCUGGUCGUGCUUCCAAGUUGGCAGGAGCCUGCAGCCAGCUCUGGAAAUAGUUGGCAAUGGUGAAGGGAGGGGUUGUGGGAGGGAAGAUCUUACACUUCUGCAUUCUCCGCAGCUUUGUUUCACUACUGUGGGAAAAGAGAUUAGGGCAGGCUGGCAGCCAGGGGUUAGCAGAUAAGUGAGUGUUAGCAUUGGAUAGGCCAUCUGGAUCAGUUCCAGCACAGGGCCUAGCAAUCUCUCUCAGACCAAAUCUGAAACCAACCAGCAGGCCUUGCAGGGGGCCAAGCCAGAGAGGACGGGGGAAGCACCCUGGCAGGCUGGCAAAUCCAUGGCCAGGCAGCUAAAAGUGCCUUUCCCCUGGGCUGCCUGGCCAGUCCUCUGCCCCUUUCUCAAUCUCUCUCCCUCUGAUUUCCCAAAACUAUCGAGAGAGUCGAAGGGGGGCUGGGUUCUGGGAAAGUGACAAUGGGCAGACAGGGUAGAAAGUGCUCUAAUGAGUUUCUGUCAGUCACCCAGACACAUGAUUGAUGGCUCAGUGUGCAGCUACUGAGCAUUGGGGAUUAAGUGCACAUGUUAUGUCAAUUUCCGACUCCCGUUCUCUCUUUGUUUAAAGAGACAGUCUCUCCUUCCCUUGCCCCUUCCCCACCAGUGCCACAGGCAGGACCAUUAACUUCAUCUUAAGCCCUGCUCAGAGGCUGCAGGUUCUCUUUUUAUGCCCCCAUGGGCUUGACAACAUGCCAGGCCUUAGUGGGGGCACUGCCCUUAAUUUUGACUGGGUAGAGGGUGCCUCUCAGUGGGGCUGCACCAGUGAUCCUGAGGGUUAUUGCAGGAGCUAGCUGCAUGCAACCACCUUGCUGUAAGCAGCUAUAGGGCACUUCUCAUCUGUCAACCUCUGUGUGCUGGGUCAGGAUUGUUACCACUAGGGAAAGCCAGGCCAGCUUAUGCCUCUGUUUUAGCCCACAGAGGGGAGAAGAAGCUGGAGAAUUGGCCAGGAUGAAUAUCUGAGCUCCUAACAAAUCCAUGAGCUGGGGACACUACGAUUUCACAAUUUCCCCUGUGUACUCUGGGGGAGCCAGACUAGAACCCUGGGCUGAUAGUACCAUAAACACAGGCCAUAGUCACUUGUGCUAGGGGAGCUUUCCCUCAGCUGGCAGCAGCAGGUCCUUUAUGUGCUUGUGGCUGAUUAUCAGAGGGCCUGAGAGAAGUAGCAUCCUUCCUUCCCCUUGCCCCCAGCUCCAUGGAGUCCCCUUCCACGCAGAUGGGGCUCUGCAGUUCCUGGGGCAGUGGCUGUACAAGGAGGGUGUGGAGCUGGGGGGUAUCCUCUGACCUCAGAGCUAGCCUCUUGUCAGCCCAGCAAGGACUUUCCUGGUUGGAUUCCACUCCCUGCCCUGCCCCCCAUCCCCAAGAAGUGGGCAUGGGGCAAUGGCUUGUGGGAACCAGUGACAGCCUGUCUGCCCUGGGGGCGGUGCAAGGGCUAUCAGUGAAGGGCAUGGUAUAAAUGCCUAGAGAGAAACAAGAGCUGAAUGGGGAGAAUAUACUCAAGUGGCACCCUGAAACCUCGCUGGAAAUGGUCCCCAGCACAUGUGACUCAGGCAUUGCAGCUGGCACAUGCAUGUGACUCACACAUGUCAUCUGACACAUGCAUGUUCAACUCAGGGCUGAUAGGUAGCAGGCAUGUGUGCAAACAGGGCCCAACACCUGACAUAUGUGGGUGACUUGGCUGCCACACAUGGCCUGUGUGCAUGAAUCAGGCGUGAAGUGUUGUGCACGUGUGCAACUCAGGCAGGCUGUCUGGUGUGUGUGCAUGACACAGGUGUGACACUUGGCACAAUUAUUCCUUUUAGACACCUGUGGUUGGCAGAGGAAAGUGGCUGAUGGGGGAACAGUGCCUGGAAUGGAUUCUCUGGGGUGAAGCAGGGUCACUGUGCAAACGCAUGUGCCCCAGUAUCAGACAUACCAAUGCCAGGGCCUUCUCCCCUGAAGCUACUGGCAGAUCUGGCCCCUUCAAAACUCCUCUCCCCUGGGGUGGGGUUCGAGGCUGCACAAGUAGCAUCGCAGGAUUCAAAUGUGCUUAUUGCAAAUAUGUGUCUUUGUGUUUGAGGAUGAUGUGAGGUCUCCACUGGCCUGUGUUUAUGGGUGCCUGGCUGGCUGAUUGCUUGCAUAUGGGUAGAGGUGUCUGGGCCGGUUUGCAGGAGAGGAUGUGAGGAUGUUUGCAUGGAUGUUCACUGGAGGAGAGAGGGUGGUAAUAGUUGGUUGUGACCCUGCUGUGGUGUCUGGUUUCACCCAGUCCAAGUGGUGUCCUGCCCAGUCUUGCAGGAAAUGCCGAUGGUUAUUAUUAGCAGCCAGCGAGUAGCUGUCUGCAGAGUGUUGAUGCAAUGCAGUCUGGGAAGAAUUCAGAGUCGCAAUUGCAUGGGGGGGAGAAAGAGAGAGGCAGGCAGGACUGGACACCAUCGGACAUCUGUGACUAAUACACAGUGUACAAUGUGGCCAGGAGAUUCCACCUCCAGAGACGGUGUCACAGCCAAUUUCCCAAGCAGGGAGAAAUUUGCCUUCAAGGCAGUGAUGUCUGGGCCAAGGCCAAGAAGUCUACCUGGGUAAGCACAGGACUGGGAAUCAUCGGUCUAAUAUCGCCUUUGCCACAGCCUCGCUGUGUAGCAUUUGAUGAGCCAGCUGAUCACUGCCCACAGUUAAUAAUUGCCCAGCCCUUUGGAAUUGCUAAUUAUGGGCUGAGUUUGCUGAAAAGUGCUUGUGUGUUUGCACACCCAAGUUGUGUAUUUUUACAUCAGCUGUUAGCUCACACAGUUAUUAGGGUUACACGCACAAUCACAUGAACUGUACACACACAGUUUUCCAUGCACAAAUGCACAAGCACUUUUCUGAGAAAAUGGCCCUAUUUAUUGCAUACAAAAUAGGACAAACCCUGACUUUCCUGUCUCCCUCCACUGGCAGAGUCUGUCCUGCUCUGACCCUGUCUCUCACCAGAUGUUCCACACCCUCCUCACCCUCACAAACCUCCUUUCCUCACCACAUUAUAGUUAUAAGGUUUAACGUCAUCCGCACCUUCCACUAGAGUCCCACCAGGUGUAGUCCCACCAGGUGUUUAACUUCAUACCUGCUGUUCCUUCACUCUCUCCACCACCAGUCGUCUCUGAGCGUGUGGGCAAGACCCACCAGACAGAUACCUGGGAAAGAAUUCUCUGGAGUAACUCAGAGCUCUCCCCAUCUAGUGCCCUGUCUCAAGCUGUUGGGGUUUUUGCUACAGGCAGUUGCCGAUGGGCUACUGUAGGCCAUUGUAGGCAGCCCCAUCAGACCAUCCCCUCCAUAAACUUACCACGCUCAGUCUUGAAGCCAAUUAGGUUUUUUGCCCCCACUGCCCCCCU
Molecule: long non-coding RNA, 4062 nt
Organism: Gopherus evgoodei (Goodes thornscrub tortoise)
Lineage: Eukaryota; Metazoa; Chordata; Testudines; Testudinidae
Exons: 3
Source: RefSeq, a predicted model, not a curated record